RNAcentral lists this ribosomal RNA (1482 nucleotides) under Bacteroides thetaiotaomicron VPI-5482. Its description in RNAcentral is "bacterial SSU rRNA". It matches the Rfam family "Bacterial small subunit ribosomal RNA". The record is from RNAcentral. Lineage: Bacteria; Pseudomonadati; Bacteroidota; Bacteroidia; Bacteroidales; Bacteroidaceae.
CUUUUACAAUGAAGAGUUUGAUCCUGGCUCAGGAUGAACGCUAGCUACAGGCUUAACACAUGCAAGUCGAGGGGCAGCAUUUCAGUUUGCUUGCAAACUGGAGAUGGCGACCGGCGCACGGGUGAGUAACACGUAUCCAACCUGCCGAUAACUCGGGGAUAGCCUUUCGAAAGAAAGAUUAAUACCCGAUGGUAUAAUCAGACCGCAUGGUUUGAUUAUUAAAGAAUUUCGGUUAUCGAUGGGGAUGCGUUCCAUUAGGCAGUUGGUGAGGUAACGGCUCACCAAACCUUCGAUGGAUAGGGGUUCUGAGAGGAAGGUCCCCCACAUUGGAACUGAGACACGGUCCAAACUCCUACGGGAGGCAGCAGUGAGGAAUAUUGGUCAAUGGGCGCAGGCCUGAACCAGCCAAGUAGCGUGAAGGAUGACUGCCCUAUGGGUUGUAAACUUCUUUUAUAUGGGAAUAAAGUUUUCCACGUGUGGAAUUUUGUAUGUACCAUAUGAAUAAGGAUCGGCUAACUCCGUGCCAGCAGCCGCGGUAAUACGGAGGAUCCGAGCGUUAUCCGGAUUUAUUGGGUUUAAAGGGAGCGUAGGUGGACAGUUAAGUCAGUUGUGAAAGUUUGCGGCUCAACCGUAAAAUUGCAGUUGAUACUGGCUGUCUUGAGUACAGUAGAGGUGGGCGGAAUUCGUGGUGUAGCGGUGAAAUGCUUAGAUAUCACGAAGAACUCCGAUUGCGAAGGCAGCUCACUGGACUGCAACUGACACUGAUGCUCGAAAGUGUGGGUAUCAAACAGGAUUAGAUACCCUGGUAGUCCACACAGUAAACGAUGAAUACUCGCUGUUUGCGAUAUACAGUAAGCGGCCAAGCGAAAGCAUUAAGUAUUCCACCUGGGGAGUACGCCGGCAACGGUGAAACUCAAAGGAAUUGACGGGGGCCCGCACAAGCGGAGGAACAUGUGGUUUAAUUCGAUGAUACGCGAGGAACCUUACCCGGGCUUAAAUUGCAUUUGAAUAUAUUGGAAACAGUAUAGCCGUAAGGCAAAUGUGAAGGUGCUGCAUGGUUGUCGUCAGCUCGUGCCGUGAGGUGUCGGCUUAAGUGCCAUAACGAGCGCAACCCUUAUCUUUAGUUACUAACAGGUCAUGCUGAGGACUCUAGAGAGACUGCCGUCGUAAGAUGUGAGGAAGGUGGGGAUGACGUCAAAUCAGCACGGCCCUUACGUCCGGGGCUACACACGUGUUACAAUGGGGGGUACAGAAGGCAGCUACCUGGUGACAGGAUGCUAAUCCCAAAAGCCUCUCUCAGUUCGGAUCGAAGUCUGCAACCCGACUUCGUGAAGCUGGAUUCGCUAGUAAUCGCGCAUCAGCCAUGGCGCGGUGAAUACGUUCCCGGGCCUUGUACACACCGCCCGUCAAGCCAUGAAAGCCGGGGGUACCUGAAGUACGUAACCGCAAGGAGCGUCCUAGGGUAAAACUGGUAAUUGGGGC